GUGUCAGCAGCCGCGGUAAUACGUAGGGUGCGAGCGUUAAUCGGAAUUACUGGGCGUAAAGGGUACGCAGGCGGCUAGGCAAGAAGGAUGUGAAAUCCCUGGGCUUAACCUAGGAAUUGCAUUUUUAACUGCCUGGCUAGAGUAUGUCAGAGGGGGGUGGAAUUCCACGUGUAGCAGUGAAAUGCGUAGAUAUGUGGAGGAACACCGAUGGCGAAGGCAGCCCCCUGGGAUAAUACUGACGCUCAGGUACGAAAGCGUGGGGAGCAAACAGGAUUAGAUACCCUGGUAGUCCACGCCCUAAACGAUGUCAACUAGCUGUUGGGGCCAAUAGGCCUAAGUAGCGCAGCUAACGCGUGAAGUUGACCGCCUGGGGACUACGGCCGCAAGGCUAAA
This 393-nucleotide ribosomal RNA is filed under the name uncultured bacterium. RNAcentral describes it as "bacterial SSU rRNA". It matches the Rfam family "Bacterial small subunit ribosomal RNA", at positions 505 to 898 of the family's 1533-position model. The record is from RNAcentral.